This 406-nucleotide ribosomal RNA is filed under the name uncultured bacterium. Its description in RNAcentral is "partial 16S ribosomal RNA". It matches the Rfam family "Bacterial small subunit ribosomal RNA", at positions 30 to 526 of the family's 1533-position model. The record is from RNAcentral.
AUUGAACGCUGGCGGCAGGCCUAACACAUGCAAGUCGAACGAGUGGCGGACGGGUGAGUAAUGUCUGGGAAACUGCCUUAUGGAGGGGGAUAACUACUGGAAACUGUAGCUAAUACCGCAUACCAUCGGAUGAGCCCAAGUGGGAUUAGGUAGUAGGUGGGGUAAAGGCUCACCUAGGCGACGAUCCCUAGCUGGUCUGAGAGGAUGACCAGCCAAACUGGGACUGAGACACGGCCCAGACUCCUACGGGAGGCAGCAGUGGGGAAUAUUGCACAAUGGGGGCAAGCCUGACGCAGCCAUGUCGCGUGUAUGAAGAAGGCCUUCGGGUUGUAAAGUUCUUUCAGUGGGGAGGCGUUAACUGCAGAAGAAGCACCGGCUAACUCCGUGCCAGCAGCCGCGGUAAUUC